UUUCUCUCUGUCUCUCUCUCUCACUGUCCACUCUGCCUGUCAAAAAAAAAAAAAAAAAUAAAUUAAAAAAAAGAAAAUGGGUACAUUAAAGCUAUGUAUUUGUAGGAUUCAGGAAUAUGGAAGUGAACCCCAGGAGACACAGCUAAAUGCCUUUGGAUCAGGAGAAGGAAUGAUCAAAUCCUGGGAAAGUGGGGUAUGCCCUGCAGUCUAGGAACUCCACUUUGGAAACUGCUGGUCUAGGACAUAGCAGGUGUUUAAUAAAUGUAAGUACUUUAAAAUAUAUAAUGAUUCU
Molecule: long non-coding RNA, 292 nt
Filed under: Oryctolagus cuniculus (rabbit)
Lineage: Eukaryota; Metazoa; Chordata; Mammalia; Lagomorpha; Leporidae
Description: lncRNA (ENSOCUG00000036850.1)
Source: RNAcentral